UCAGUCUCCAGACAACCUUUCAACUCCUCUGUGAUUCUGAAGCUCUGGCGAGCCUGUGAAGUGAGCCACAGACGGCAGCUCUCAUGCUUGGAUUUGGCAUGCAGGAUGCCUUUCUCCCUGAACCAUCAUGGUGCCAAUACAAGGUAAUUUGGCUGGAUUGAUUUCAUCAGGAAUUAGUGUCCUCACCCACCAUGGAGAUAGGAGUCUCCCAGCUCCUAAUGGUUAUUACCUAUGUUCCUGACUCUCCAUUAUUUUUCUUCCUCUUCUGUAAAAUGAGUCUGACUGGUAGCUUGAAGUUACCUAGAAUGAGGCUUUUGCAUGACCUACCUAAUCAUUCAGCUCUCUGUUUGUUCCAUAAAGACAUUAAAUCGAUUAUGUUACUCCCAUACUCUGCUUUUGUGGGUCAAUGCAUAUGUAAUUCUCUUCUGAAGAACGGCUUGUCUUACAUUAGGAUCAAUCAGUGUAAUGAUUUUCAACCAAAGUGGUUCUAUAAUAAUAAUUUUAAAAGAAAAAUACAAAGUGUGACCUUCUGGUAGAAACCCAAUAAAAAAAAACUAAGUUCUAAAUAUAUAAAAAAUAGAUUGGGAGAGUGUGUUCUGCCAGUUACUGAAUAAGAAGAAACUGUUUCUUACUAUAUAGCAAUUAUUUGCUGUAGAUCCCAUUUAUUCAUGUCUAUGUGUGAAUAACAGUUUCAAGAAAAUGUAAACACUUCUGAGUAAGCUAACAUGUUUGGUUAUUAUCAACUACAGUAAUUGUGGUAGAUUCAAUUGUUAUUUAAAAAAAAUCUUUAUAGCUGGGCUUAGGAUGUGAGUUGUUUGGGAUAAAUGGUGGACUGAAUAUAAUUCCCUGCCUUUUGACUUUGGGCUUAGCUAUAUGCCUUGCUUUGGUCAGAGGAACGUUAGGAGACUGGAAAUAUAAUUUCAUCAGGAGGCUGAGGUAAGAGGAUUACAAAUUCAAGGCCAGCCUCAGAAACUUAGCAAGACCCUCAGCAACUUAGUGAGACCCGUUUCAAAAUAAAAGAUCAAAAGGACUGGAGAUUGACUCAAUGAUAAAGCACCCUUGGGCUCAAUCCCUGGCAUCAAAAGAAGAAAAUAAAAAAGGAAGGAAGGAAGGAAGGAAGGAAGGAAGGAAGGAAGGAAGGAAGGAAGGAAGGAAGGAAGGAAGGAAGGGAAAGAAAAGAAAAUAUAAUUGCAUGUUUUACUCUGAUCUCAUAUUUCUGUCAUUGCCAUAUACUGUAGUUUAGAUCUAAAAAGUCACCCAAAGGUCUGUGUGUUGAUAGGUUGGUAUCUAAAAUGGUGAUGCUAAUGGGAGAUGAUGGAAACUUCAGGAAGUGAGCCCAGGAGGAGGUCUUUAGAGCAUUGAGGGUACACCCAAGAAAGGGAUUUUGAGACCCUGGUCCCUUUGUUUCUUUGGCUUCCUGGCCAAGAAGGGAAUUUUGCUCUGCUGCAUGCUCCCACCAGGAUAUCAGCUGCCUUGCUACAGGCCUAAAAUAAAUAAAGUCAACUUAUCAUGAACUGGCACCUCUGGAAAUGUUAGCUGAAAUAAACCUUUUCUCUUUAUAAGCCGACUACCUCAGGUAUAUGCAAUAGUAACCAAAAAGAGCUGAUGAAACACACCAUACUUCCUUGAGAAAGCUGUUGUCCCUUCCUGCUGGGUCCCAGAAUGACAAAGUUGGAGAAGAUUAGACCUCAAGUGGAACAAAGUCUAAUCUAGAGCAACCUCCAACUGACCAUAUACACGUGGGUACAUGUGGUUUUAAGCCAAGGAGUUUUGGAUGGUUUGUUAUGUAGUAAUAGCUAAGUAAUGCAAUGGAUACUCACUGGUUAAGUAUGUUAUUUAUUCAUGAUCUCAUGAUCUCAUGAAUGCUUUAUUUUUGUACCAGGGAUUGAACCCAGGGGCACUGAGCUACUUCCCCAGACUGAUUUUUUUUUUUUUUUUGAGACCAGGUCUUGCUAAAGUCACUUAGGGCCUUACUAAAUCACUGAGGCUGGCUUUGAACUUGCAAUUUUGCCUCUGCCUCCUGAGCUGCUGGGAUUACAGGCAUGCACCACCACACCUGGUUUUAUCUCUUUAAUUCUUAUACCACCUCGGAACUAGAUAUUAUCAUUCAUUCUGCAAGAAUACAUGGUUGUAGAGUCAAGAUGUGAACCCCCAAACUAAAACCUUUUUAAGACUACAGAGUCAAAGCUCUUAAAUAUUUAUGGAAUAAAAUCACUCAUAAAAUUAAUAGUUGAGAACUGCCUACCUUUGGUUUUCAUGACUGGCUCUUUCCUAGCCUUUGAAUUUCAGAAAGGUUUACCUGACUACCUUAAGUGGCCUUCUCUCCAUUAUUUUCCCUCUUACCUCCUCAUUGAUUUCUUCAGCGCAUUCCCAUACUUUGGAAUUGAUUUGUUUGCUUGCUUGCUGUCUUGUCUUCCACAUCACCAAAUGCAACUGUAGGGUAGAAACACGCUCAUGUUUUUAUUGUUGUACCCCAAGCAUCUAGCAGAAUGAUAGGCACAUAGUAGGUGCUCAACAAAUAUUUGCAGAAUGGACAAAUGAGUGAGUAGGACAGAGAUAUAAAGAACAGGCUGGUGAGUGGGGAACUGUGAACCUUUAUGGGACAUUGUAGAAAGGAACCAUGAAUUACAAUCAGGAUUUGAGGAGGUGAAGGGACAUGAGGGAGGGCUGUAGAGAUAAGGAGGAGGGAAAGUGUAACAAACCAAGUUUAAUCUAGUGAACUUUGCCACUUCAUAAUAAGUAGAACUUGUCUGGGAAACUCAGAAGUCUUUUUUUCCUUGAGAAACUUCAAACCAAAAUAUAUCCUAUAAAAACACACACUAGAAUAGGUAUGAUGUCUUUUUUUUUUAAUUUGAAAUGUAUUUUUUCUUGUAGGAUUUGAAAAAAAGAAACAUGAAGGAAAAAUCUCACAGUAACUGAUGCAAAAGGAACAAUGGUAUCAAACCAAACAAGACCUUAGGUGAGCCAUCUUCUUUGACUGCUUGGUUCACAGGGGAUCUGGCUUAGUCUUGGGAGAGAAGUUCAGACAGGAGGCCAGAGUACUGAUGAAUCUCACUGGUGAUUUUCUUUGGAGUAGAAACAAUAAAUAUAUCAGAUGGGUGAGAAAUUCAAAAGGGCCUUGACAAGAUGAAGUCUGGGGUCUGAAAGAGUUAGUUCCAUGCUGGAGAAUUACAACUGGUUUAGAAUGGACUUCUAAAUCUCAAUGGGCAACAGUGUAACAGUGGAUGCUCUUGUAUUUUGUUUAAUAGAGAAAGUUGGGGUGGCUCUCUGGGUUGUUGAUUCUCCUGGAUUUGUGAGUUGGUAUCCAUAUCAUCUGCCUGGAUGCUCUGUUCUUUACAAACCAUUAUGAACUCAAAGUGUUCAAGUGCUGAGUUUCAUGAGUUUGGGGGACACAUUUAAAUCACAGCAGUGACUUUGCAUCAGUCAGAUCGGUAGAUUUAUUUAUACGGACACAGAAUAAAUAUUUCAUUACAAAUAAAAAUACCUCAAAAGGUCUAUUUUGCUUUUAAUGACAAAUAAAGAAAGCUGGACAUAUUUCUGCAAAAAGCUAGUGGGAAAACAUAAGAUUGCCAUCUCUUAUUUCCUUAUGAUGGAUCUGCAAACCCUUUUGCUUCAUAGAAAGCUUUUACUAGCCCUUAGGGCAGCACAGAUUGUGGGGAGGAAAAUUUCUCCCCUUGGUUUUGCGGUGAUGACAAGAAAUAGAAUUGGGGCUGAGACAAAGGCCGCUCUUCAUUUUCUCUUGUUUUUGUUGUUUUGAUGGUGGUGGGGUUGGUGUUAAGGAAGAAUGAAGGUGUGGGAAGAAGGAAGGCAUUUUUUAUUCCAAAAUUAAUAAAUUACUAAUUAAAAUAAAGUGGCCUUUUGACACUGUGAAGUAGGUCAAUGUAAGAGAGGAAAAAAAUCAUUUGUUUUCCUUUUGCUUUUGGCAUUGUAAAUGAAUACCCCUUUAGGAAAAUUGUAUAUGGAGUCUCACAAAAUUCAUUGCUCUAUUUAUUCAACGUGACAGGAAUGAAAAUGAAUCUACAGAAAAUAAAGUAGAAUGAAUUGACUUUAUUUUUAAAUGUUUAUAUCAAUUUUUUUUCAAUGCCAGCCUGGUGGUAUUUAUUAGCAAAUAUUUAUUUAGCCCUCAUUGUGUUUUGUGCUUAAAGAAAGGAUGGCGGGGGUAGGGGGGGGGUAGAACUAGUAAGACCUGUUUGUUAUCUGAGAUUAAUCUGUGUUUCUACCUAACUGGAGAGUACAUGGCAGCACCUUUUUUUCUAGAAUCUGGCAUUGACCAUCAAAGAGAGGGCUAAUCUCACAAUAAAAACAACAACAACAACAACAAAUACAGGAGGAAUACAAACAUAUGAUAUACAUGUAUGGAUGCUUCUAGACAAUAGCACAUGUGAAUGAUGACAGAUAUCUGGACCUUCCUGUACUGUCUGGGGAACUCACCAUACCAUUCCCAAGAUAAUUUGGGCAAAGAAUUUACUUAUAUAUAUAUAUAUAUAUAUAUAUAUAUAUAUAUAGGCAUGCACAGACAGCUACCCAUUACAGGAAUACCAGUGAGUAAAUAGCAAUUAGCAAUUGCUGAUUGUAGAAUUAAUUAAUAAUUUGGCAUUAUAAUUGAUGCUGGAUAAUAAAAUUAUAAGAAAUAUUAUGUUCUCACCAGAUGUUUAGCAUUUAUAUAUUUAAAAUCAAUUUGGGAAAGGAAGGGAACAGAACUAUUAAAUUGGACUUUUGGGAAAUGACAUGCUAGAGUGAAAUUACUCUCUGGUUUUAAGUGAGAUAACACAGAACUAUGGUGGUCCUAGCACAAAUAUUACAGCAUCUUCUUUAACUCUCAAAAAUGUCCUAAUUUGGAUUAAAAAUCCAUCCAUACUGAAGCAGUAUUGAUUUGCAAAAAGUGGAUUAUUUGCAUUCCAACUGAGUUGUGUUUACUGUAUAACCACUAUCAACUUGUUAAUAAUAAUAACAAUGAGUCAUUUUAACCAGUAAUUUUUAUUUUGUGAUUGCUAGGGUUCUAGUAAUCAAAUCUAUUAUGUAGUAUAUUGAGCAUUUUACGUGAAUUAGUUUAUUUAAUUUUCACAUCCUUACAGGGUAAAUACCUUCAUUAUUGCCAUUAUGUAACCUUAUUUAAAAAGAAGGAAAAAAAUGGGAAUACAGAGUUGUUAAGUAACUUGACAAAGGACACACAGUAUGUGCUGAAAUCAGUGUUCAAACAGAAACAUUUUUAUGCCAGCUUAUUUUGUUCUAUGAUCAAAAAUCUUACAUUAUAGAUGAUGAAGUAGAACAUAAGCACAUUAGUUGAUAACAUAGUAUAAUUAUUAAGAAAAAAAUAAAUUACAUUACUUAUUCUUGGUGUUCCCCCCCAUCUGUUGUACAUAGUUAUAAUAAAGAGUUCAAAAACUUAUGUAAAGGGUCUGGGGUGUGGCUCAGUGGUAGAACAUGAGGCACUGGGUUCCAUCCUCAGCACAACAUAAAAAAAUAUAUAUAAUAAAGGUAUUGUGUCCACCUACAACUAAAAAAUAUAAAAAAUAGUUAUGUGAAAUAUAAAACAUUGUCUAUAUGUUGAAUGAUAUGAUAUUUAUCCCUUCUUCUGCUAUAGUGUUGUAAUUAACAAAUUAUACCUUAAAUCAAAGGAGUAGAGAAUUGAAAGCAGUUUCUUUUCCCAAUCCAAAGAUAUUUUUCUUGAAACCCCGUGACUUUCAAGUUUCAUUUUGUGGCCACAGGCAAGGAAAAUACCAGGAAAUCAAUAAAAGCUAGGAAAAUGAAUUGCAAAGCAGCAGCAAGAUCCCAGUUGAGGUUGGCAAGAGAUGAGCAAAUGUAUAUAUAAUCUGCAUAGGGCUUUAGGUCUUCCCAGCUGAUGGAUGAUUUCUCAAUAGCACUCUGGGCUAGAAGAUAGAAGCAGACAGGGCUGGCAGUGCAUGAUUAAACGAUGGAAUACCAGAAUUACCAAGCGUGGUGAGUGUGGGAUGAUGCUGAGAACAGCAUCGGAGAAGCCAACAGUGGAGGAAUGCAUCCAUAGGGAGUAGGUAAAGUUAAAAUAUGAGUGAAUGAAAGAUGAGGAGAUUGAAAAUGCAGACUCACAAAUAUGUUAAGAAAAAAAAAAAAAACUAGAUAAGGAUUUAAUGGCAGCCCAAGUGGGGAAACUGUCAAAUUCAGGAAUGAAACUGGUAGGAUCUAACACUUAGCUGGAGUGGCAAAUGGCGGAUGUAGCAAUUCCAUGCUAUCCAGAAGCAGUAAGUGGUAUUGCUUCAUAGUGGUACUGGGGAAUCAAAUACCUGGAAGUAGUUAGCAUGGGAUCAGACACAUAGUAAAUGUUUAAUAACGUGUAAGUAUUUAAUACAGUCUUAGAAACUUAGUAAAUGCUUAAUAUGUGAUUGUUCAACAAAUGUUCCUGCAGAUUGUUAUACUCGUUAAUAUUAGGGUGUUAGAUUAGAUGAUUAAUCUUACAUGUAAAAUUGACUAGGCUAGUUGUUUCUUGGAGAGCUGGUAAAACUAUUUCUGGGUCUGUCUGUGUGGGUGUUUCUGGAAGACUUUAUCUUUUGAAUCAGUGAACUGAGUAAAGAAGAUCCACCCUGGCCAACAUGGACAGGCAUCACUCCUUCUGUUAAAGGCCCAAAUGAGACAAAAAGACUGAGGAAGAGCAAAUUCUCCCUUCUCCUGGUGGAGCUGGGACAUCCAGCUUCUCUACUCCCCGGACGUCUGAGAUCCUGGUUCUUGAGACUUUGGACUACAAAACUUACACCAGCAUCUCCUUCCCAGCCCAGUGGUUCUCAGGUCUUUGGCAUCAGAAAGGAGUGACAUCAUUGGCACCCCUGGCUCACAGACCUUCGGACUCAGGCUAAAUUGCACCAAUGGGUUUUCUGGUUCCCUUACUUCGGGAAAACCUAAAUAAGCCAUGUAGCUUCACUUACUUUUUGUUGAGUUAAAAAUCACUAAUUUGGGGGAUCACACAGCUGAGUGAUAUACAUUAUUAGUCUCCCACUAGCUUUGCUGUAGGUAACAUUCUGCCCUCUGGGUUUAGGGAUAACAGUUGCUAGGUUACAUUUAAGUGACUUGAAGGUUGAACACACUCACUCUUCUCUCAGGUCUGCAGAUGGCUAAUGGGUGGUUGGAAUGGAAUGGAAAGGUUUGGCAUCUCUCCUUGAUAUUUUGUCUGUUCCCUUGGUGCCUUUAGCCUUUGGGUCGGGCUUUACUGAGCUUUGGAUGUAAACAUGUUGAUCAUUUAAACUUUGUCCAGAAUCGUAACAAGGGAUUAACUUAACCUAGACUUGCCUCAUCACUUUCCCCACCUUCAAGUCUAUCAGAAUCAUGACCAGAAAUACCAGACCCUGAAAGAAACAAAAAGAAGUCACACGUGAGUUCCUGGAAGAUCUCCAGCUGUCUCCAGAGAAGACAUGAACAUUACCUCCUGUUGUUAGUCUCUUUCUCCCUCAAUAUUCCUAUACUCUAUCUAUAACUUCUCAGCUGCCUGAGAGUUGGGAAGAUAUUUGUGAGCAGAGCUCCCAUUUUCCCAUUCUUUAGCCACUGAAUAGAGCAUUUUCCCCCCUCCUAUUACUUUGUCUCUGGCUUUAUUAAGUGGCAGCAAAAUUGGACUUUUUCUCAUUUACAGUUCUUCAGCUUGCAGGUGACAUUCUGGGAGAUUCUUGGCUUCUGUAAUCAAGUAAGCCAAUUUCCAUAAUAGAUUGCUUCUUAAACAUCUCUAUCUAAAUAUCUAUCUCUCUAUCUAUAGAUAUAUCUGCUGGUUCUGUUUCUCUGAAUAACCUUGACUAAGGCAGCAUGAAGCUAGGCAUGUAAUUCCAGUGACUUGGGAGUAUAAGGGUAGGGGGAUGGCAAGUUCAAGGUCAACUUGGGCAACUUAAUGAGACCCUGUCAAAAAUUAAAAAUUAAAAAAAAAGUAGGGAUGGUUCUGGAAGUGUAGGUCAGUGGUUGUCGCGACCCCUCGCCGGCAAGGGAAAACACGACACAGGAUUCUUCUUUCAGCAGUUUAUUCAGGCCUUGUUUCAUGUAUCAUCUUCUAGCGACCCCCCUGCCGAGCACCCAAGCACAGCCUAAUAAAGCCUCCUGCAUACCAAUCCCAAGCUGCCACGUGGAUCUCUCUCAUAGGGUGGUAAGGGAUUGCGCGCCAACUCUCCAAAAAAGGAGUUGUUUAUCACAGGCCACAGUGGAAGCCGGCGCCAUCUUCUAAUGGCGGCCACGGUCUAUAAGAAUGGCUUACCACAAGUGGUAGAGUUAAAACUUUGUCCAGAAUCCAAAGAGUUCCAUUCUUAUUCCAACAAGAACAUUAAUUUUUCUAUUCUUGCAUUGUAUCUAGUGCUACAUUGUAUCUAGUGCUAUGGAGGUCAAUCUCCAAACCACAACAAAACAAACAACAACAAAAAAAGAAAAAAUAUGCAUGGAACUUAGAGGUGUGAUAGUGAAUUGGGAAGGUAAAGAGGAAAAACAUACAUGAGGGGUUUUUUUUUGUACUGGGGAUUGAACUCAGGGGCACUCAACCACUGAGCCACAUCCCCAGCCCUAUUUUGUAUUUUGUUUAGAGACAGGGUCUCACUGAGUUGCUUAGUGCCUUGCUUUUGUUGGGAAUGGCUUUGAACUUUUCCUGCCUCUGCCUCUGGAGCUGCUAGGAUUACAGACAUGCACCAACCACCGUUCCCGGCCAUGUUUUUGAAGUAUCAUAGAAGACAAAAGUAGGUCUAGCAGCACAGAGUAGCAGAGCUGGAAGGAAAGAGGAAAUGGUGUGAUAGUAGCAAUUAGGAAGGAAGAAUUAAAACAAGUAGUUGCUUGAAAAAGAGAGCAAACCCCUCCCAAGCUCUCAUGGGAUCUUUUACGUAGUUUCCUUCCUUCUUUUCUGCUAUUCUUGCAAUUUAUUCUCACAUUCGUUCAUUUAAAGCCAAGUUUUCUAUGUGUUGAAUUAUAUAUACUAAAAAGCAAAUUGUGGGAGAAUUUAUAAUUCAGUCUAAGAAGGAGGUGAUUUUCAUUCAUACAUAUUCUUCAUCGCUUUCUGAAUGCUUAUGCUCAUUCUCUGUUCUCUUUGCCACAUCCUUAAUUAUCAUCAGAAUGAAGAAGGAGUUUCAUAUCACAGGUGUUGGCAGCAAACAAAUCUGCAGCUUCGGAGAAGGAAGUCCUAGUCUGAAAGCAAACAAAUGUUUGCAAAAACAGAGUAGAUAUUGCAUUUAUAGACAGAAUAGCUUGUCUAAGCUCUGGAGUCUAGGUUCAGCACAUUUGAUACAAGGGAUGGCUUCCAUUCUUAUUCCAACAAGAACAUUAAUUGUUCUAUUCUUGCAUUGUAUCUAGUGCUACAGCACAAACCUCACUCCCUUAAUUAGCUUUCCAAGGAUUCAGAAAAGGGUCCACUCCUGAUCUGAAUUGUUUCCCUUGGUGAUAUUAUUAAGUUUCAUUUCAGCAGCUUGGAGACAAAACCCAUCAACCAAUCAGCAAGUUCAUAAGGCAUCCCUACUAUGAGGUUGGCUUUGUGUUAGAAGCCCUCUAGGAGCCUGCUCUUGAAUUGAGGAGGCAAAACCUGUACAUAUGCAAAGGUAAGAGAAUAAUGAGGGCCAAACUGGGCAGAACUGACUCUAGGACAAUAGAAAUUCAGAGAAAGGAAAAAUCAGUGUGGGCUAAAUAGCCAACAUUUAUAAAUUGUUAUUAUCAAUUACUAUCAUUAUAACAACAAUGGCCAGCAUUUAUUGAGUAUUAAGUGCUCUCCAUAUGCCAAGGUACUGUGCAAAGCACUUUGUGUGCCUCCUCUGAUUUAAUCCUCAUAAUAACACUCCUAUUAUUCCUACUUAUAAAGAGAAAACAACAUACUCCUAUUAUCCCCAUUUUAUAAAUGAGGAUACUGAGUCUUAAAGUGGUUAUAUAAUUCAACAACAGUUACAAAGUCAGCAAAACCAGAAUUCAUAUUUUAACAUAGGUUUGUCUGGCUCCAAAUAACUGUGAACAUAACAUAUAUAAAACCUUACAUCCAAUCAGGUGGCCCAGAGCAUGAGGAUCACAGGAGUCAGAGCAAUGGAAUGAGUUUAAGCACAGCAGGUCAUGCAUUUAUUCAUAUCCUCUUUCAUUCAUUCGGAAUGGUGUUUGAGCAUCUACUACAUUCAAAACAUCACACUAGGAGUUGUGAGGACUAUAGAAAAAACCCAGCAUUCCUUCUCUCAAGCAGUGUGCAGCCUGGUCAGAGGUGACUUGAGCUGGGGUGAGAAUGUAUGAGAAGCAGGAGAAGGUGGAGAGUGGGAAGUUCUUUGAAGAAAGAACUUCUACGUGGACUUAAGGCUCCAAGUGCACUAAAAGCCUUAGGUCAUAAUUUCUUCAUGAAUUGAUUCAAUAACUUUUGCACACAGUUUUUGCUAGGAGCUGAGGAAAAAUGGAGAUUCCUCAGAAAACUUAGUUGUGGGCUAAAGACACUAAUAUGGAAAUGAAUUGAGAUUGUGGAAGAAAUAGGAAUUAACCAGAUGCAAAAGAAAAGGAAUAUAAUUAUCCCAGCAAGCAAAAUAGAAGGAAUUCCUGAAAGUUGUGUUUGGGGUAAAGGCUGGUACCUAUAAAAAACUGAAGACCAGUCAGGUAAAAUGUAGGUGUUUUUUCCUUGACAUCUUCCUCUUCCUAACUCCUAUAUCCAAUGUGCUACCAAGUCUUUCUGGUUUUAUUUACUAGUGAAUAUUUGUUGAUCUGUUUAGAUCUCUAAACUAGUAACACUGUCAGCACCAUUCUAUCUUAAACCAGCACUAUGCUUUCCCUGCUCUUUGGGCUUUCUGGAUUCACUUUUGCUAGCUUCCCAUCCUUUCUUUACAUUAUUGCAAAUCUGAUCCAUCUCUGCCCUCUCUCCCUCUUGACUGGCUCUCCCUUGUCCCAAAUGUUAAAGCACAGUGACGGGUGUGUAGCAGAGCACUGUGAGGAAGAUAAGCACCCGUCCAGCCACCUGCCACUGGACGAAGCAUCCCGAGGUAUGGAGGUGCUGCUCGUCCAGCUGGUCACCACUCAUCAUUCUGGCAAAGCACCAAAGGCACCAGGAGAAAUGGAAGUGCUGCUUGUUGAGUCCACUGCCAUUGGACAUUCCUCACAAGCAUUUUUUUCAAUAAAUCUAUGUCUCAGCCCAUUUCGGGGUGUCUUCUUUUGGUCUCUUAGCAACCCAUCCCACUGCUGUAGCACAAUUGGGCUGUGGAUAAAGGAGUGUUCAACACUAUGAGGUGAUUGUCCUUUCAUUUCAUUAUAUUCUACACUAGAUACUUAUAGUUUCUGAAUCUGGAUUAAAGGAUAAAGCAGAUAGAGAACCUUCAAACAAAGGCAUCUAUGAACAUGCAGGUGAUAUAGAAAGCAGUUAUUUAUUUAAAUUAGCACAAUGAAAAAUAAUACAGUUCUUUAUGGUCACAUAACAUUAAACAAUAUAGGUCAGGUAGUAUUCUAAGCACAUUAAGUCACCGAGUUCUUGCAAUGAACUACAAAUUAACUACAAAUUAUAUUUAUUUUUGACUGUAAAGGUGAAUGACUUGUCUGAGGUCACAUGAGCAUAAGUGGAUGGACUAGAAAGUGAACCCAAGAAAUUCAAAGUAAGGAUCUGACCUUCACUCACCGCUGCAAUAUACCAUACACUUGUGGUACCUCUGACCUGUGCACCAGGAGUCACACAGUUGUGAAUGCCUACUAGGUACAGAAGCCAAACAACUUGAAAAGAGUGACAAUG
Molecule: long non-coding RNA, 11656 nt
Filed under: Marmota monax (woodchuck)
Lineage: Eukaryota; Metazoa; Chordata; Mammalia; Rodentia; Sciuridae
Source: RNAcentral